CUAGCAUGAAGUCAGACAAGUGAA
Molecule: ribosomal RNA, 24 nt
Filed under: Symbiodinium sp. Gt2
Lineage: Eukaryota; Dinophyceae; Suessiales; Symbiodiniaceae
Description: partial 24S ribosomal RNA
Source: RNAcentral